RNAcentral lists this transfer RNA (77 nucleotides) under Helicobacteraceae bacterium. Its description in RNAcentral is "tRNA-His". It matches the Rfam family "tRNA". From Rfam's summary of the family: Transfer RNA (tRNA) molecules are approximately 80 nucleotides in length. Their secondary structure includes four short double-helical elements and three loops (D, anti-codon, and T loops). The record is from RNAcentral. Lineage: Bacteria; Pseudomonadati; Campylobacterota; Epsilonproteobacteria; Campylobacterales; Helicobacteraceae.
GUGGGCGUAGCUCAAUCGGUUAGAGCGUCAGAUUGUGGCUCUGAAGGUCGCCGGUUCGAUUCCGGUCGUCCACCCCA